AAAUAGAUACCCUGGUAGUCCACGCCGUAAACGAUGGAUACUUGGUGUUGGAGGUAUUGACCCCCUUCAGUGCCGAAGCUAACGCGUUAAGUAUCCCGCCUGGGGAGUACGGCCGCAAGGUUAAAACUCAAAGAAAUUGACGGGGGCCCGCACAAGCGGUGGAGCAUGUGGUUUAAUUCGAUGCAACGCGAAGAACCUUACCUGGGCUUGACAUGUACUGGACGGGUGGCAGAAAUGCCCCUUCCCUUCGGGGCCGGUACACAGGUGCUGCAUGGCUGUCGUCAGCUCGUGUCGUGAGAUGUUGGGUUAAGUCCCGCAACGAGCGCAACCCUUGUCUUUAGUUGCCAGCAUUUAGUUGGGUCACUCUAAAGAGACUGCCGACGUUAAGUCGGAGGAAGGUGGGGAUGACGUCAAGUCCUCAUGGCCCUUAUGUCCAGGGCUACACACGUGCUACAAUGGGUACUACAGAGGGUUGCCAAACUGCAAAGUGGAGCCAAAUCCCUUAAAGGUAUUCUAAGUUCGGUAUUGUAGUCUGCAACUCGACUACA
This 548-nucleotide ribosomal RNA is filed under the name uncultured bacterium. RNAcentral's name for it is "bacterial SSU rRNA". It matches the Rfam family "Bacterial small subunit ribosomal RNA", at positions 776 to 1320 of the family's 1533-position model. The record is from RNAcentral.